GGGUUGUGAGGUUAAGCGACUAAGCGUACACGGUGGAUGCCCUGGCAGUCAGAGGCGAUGAAGGACGUGCUAAUCUGCGAAAAGCGUCGGUAAGGUGAUAUGAACCGUUAUAACCGGCGAUGUCCGAAUGGGGAAACCCAGUGCAAUUCGUUGCACUAUCGUUAACUGAAUACAUAGGUUAACGAGGCGAACCGGGGGAACUGAAACAUCUAAGUACCCCGAGGAAAAGAAAUCAACCGAGAUUCCCCCAGUAGCGGCGAGCGAACGGGGAGCAGCCCAGAGUCUGAAUCAGCUUGUGUGUUAGUGGAACGGUCUGGAAAGUCCGACGGUACAGGGUGAUAGUCCCGUACACCAAAAUGCACAGGUUGUGAACUCGAAGAGUAGGGCGGGACACGUGGUAUCCUGUCUGAAUAUGGGGGGACCAUCCUCCAAGGCUAAAUACUCCUGACUGACCGAUAGUGAACCAGUACCGUGAGGGAAAGGCGAAAAGAACCCCGGCGAGGGGAGUGAAAAAGAACCUGAAACCGUGUACGUACAAGCAGUGGGAGCACCUUCGGGUGUGACUGCGUACCUUUUGUAUAAUGGGUCAGCGACUUAUAUUCUGUAGCAAGGUUAACCGUAUAGGGGAGCCGCAGGGAAACCGAGUCUUAACUGGGCGUUAAGUUGCAGGGUAUAGACCCGAAACCCGGUGAUCUAGCCAUGGGCAGGUUGAAGGUUGGGUAACACUAACUGGAGGACCGAACCGACUAAUGUUGAAAAAUUAGCGGAUGACUUGUGGCUGGGGGUGAAAGGCCAAUCAAACCGGGAGAUAGCUGGUUCUCCCCGAAAGCUAUUUAGGUAGCGCCUCGUGAAUUCAUCUUCGGGGGUAGAGCACUGUUUCGGCUAGGGGGUCAUCCCGACUUACCAACCCGAUGCAAACUACGAAUACCGAAGAAUGUUAUCACGGGAGACACACGGCGGGUGCUAACGUCCGUCGUGAAGAGGGAAACAACCCAGACCGCCAGCUAAGGUCCCAAAGUCAUGGUUAAGUGGGAAACGAUGUGGGAAGGCACAGACAGCCAGGAUGUUGGCUUAGAAGCAGCCAUCAUUUAAAGAAAGCGUAAUAGCUCACUGGUCGAGUCGGCCUGCGCGGAAGAUGUAACGGGGCUAAACCAUGCACCGAAGCUGCGGCAGCGACACUAUGUGUUGUUGGGUAGGGGAGCGUUCUGUAAGCCUGCGAAGGUGUGCUGUGAGGCAUGCUGGAGGUAUCAGAAGUGCGAAUGCUGACAUAAGUAACGAUAAAGCGGGUGAAAAGCCCGCUCGCCGGAAGACCAAGGGUUCCUGUCCAACGUUAAUCGGGGCAGGGUGAGUCGACCCCUAAGGCGAGGCCGAAAGGCGUAGUCGAUGGGAAACAGGUUAAUAUUCCUGUACUUGGUGUUACUGCGAAGGGGGGACGGAGAAGGCUAUGUUAGCCGGGCGACGGUUGUCCCGGUUUAAGCAUGUAGGCUGAUUAUCCAGGCAAAUCCGGAUAAUCAAGGCUGAGGUGUGAUGACGAGGCACUACGGUGCUGAAGUAACAAAUGCCCUGCUUCCAGGAAAAGCCUCUAAGCAUCAGGUAACAUCAAAUCGUACCCCAAACCGACACAGGUGGUCAGGUAGAGAAUACCAAGGCGCUUGAGAGAACUCGGGUGAAGGAACUAGGCAAAAUGGUGCCGUAACUUCGGGAGAAGGCACGCUGGUGUGUAGGUGAAGCCCCUGCGGGUGGAGCUGAGACCAGUCGAAGAUACCAGCUGGCUGCAACUGUUUAUUAAAAACACAGCACUGUGCAAACACGAAAGUGGACGUAUACGGUGUGACGCCUGCCCGGUGCCGGAAGGUUAAUUGAUGGGGUUAUCCGUAAGGAGAAGCUCUUGAUCGAAGCCCCGGUAAACGGCGGCCGUAACUAUAACGGUCCUAAGGUAGCGAAAUUCCUUGUCGGGUAAGUUCCGACCUGCACGAAUGGCGUAAUGAUGGCCAGGCUGUCUCCACCCGAGACUCAGUGAAAUUGAACUCGCUGUGAAGAUGCAGUGUACCCGCGGCAAGACGGAAAGACCCCGUGAACCUUUACUAUAGCUUGACACUGAACAUUGAGCCUUGAUGUGUAGGAUAGGUGGGAGGCUUUGAAGCGUGGACGCCAGUCUGCGUGGAGCCAACCUUGAAAUACCACCCUUUAAUGUUUGAUGUUCUAACGUUGGCCCCUGACCGGGGUUGCGGACAGUGUCUGGUGGGUAGUUUGACUGGGGCGGUCUCCUCCCAAAGCGUAACGGAGGAGCACGAAGGUUAGCUAAUCCUGGUCGGACAUCAGGAGGUUAGUGCAAUGGCAUAAGCUAGCUUGACUGCGAGCGUGACGGCGCGAGCAGGUGCGAAAGCAGGUCAUAGUGAUCCGGUGGUUCUGAAUGGAAGGGCCAUCGCUCAACGGAUAAAAGGUACUCCGGGGAUAACAGGCUGAUACCGCCCAAGAGUUCAUAUCGACGGCGGUGUUUGGCACCUCGAUGUCGGCUCAUCACAUCCUGGGGCUGAAGUAGGUCCCAAGGGUAUGGCUGUUCGCCAUUUAAAGUGGUACGCGAGCUGGGUUUAGAACGUCGUGAGACAGUUCGGUCCCUAUCUGCCGUGGGCGCUGGAGAAUUGAGGGGGGCUGCUCCUAGUACGAGAGGACCGGAGUGGACGCAUCACUGGUGUUCGGGUUGUCAUGCCAAUGGCACUGCCCGGUAGCUAAAUGCGGAAGAGAUAAGUGCUGAAAGCAUCUAAGCACGAAACUUGCCCCGAGAUGAGUUCUCCCUGAGACUUUAAGUCUCCUGAAGGAACGUUGAAGACGACGACGUUGAUAGGCCGGGUGUGUAAGCGCAGCGAUGCGUUGAGCUAACCGGUACUAAUGAACCGUGAGGCUUAACCUUACAACGCCGAAG
This 2923-nucleotide ribosomal RNA is filed under the name Klebsiella pneumoniae. Its description in RNAcentral is "bacterial LSU rRNA". It matches the Rfam family "Bacterial large subunit ribosomal RNA". Lineage: Bacteria; Pseudomonadati; Pseudomonadota; Gammaproteobacteria; Enterobacterales; Enterobacteriaceae. The record is from RNAcentral. RNAcentral also lists the same sequence under 1 other name.